UCCGAGUUGACCCCGGCAGUCUCCUAUGAGUCCCCGGCAUUAUCCGCUGGCAACAUAGGACGAGGGUUGCGCUCGUUGCGGGACUUAACCCAACAUCUCACGACACGAGCUGACGACAGCCAUGCACCACCUGUAUACCGACCUUGCGGGGGCUGCAUCUCUGCAGCUUUCCGGCAUAUGUCAAACCCAGGUAAGGUUCUUCGCGUCGCAUCGAAUUAAUCCGCAUGCUCCUCCGCUUGUGCGGGCCCCCGUCAAUUCCUUUGAGUUUCACCGUUGCCGGCGUACUCCCCAGGUGGAGAGGAAGGUGGGGAUGACGUAUCUUACAGCGUAC
This 331-nucleotide unclassified non-coding RNA is filed under the name uncultured Propionibacteriales bacterium. RNAcentral describes it as "contains 16S-23S intergenic spacer region". Lineage: Bacteria; Bacillati; Actinomycetota; Actinomycetes; Propionibacteriales. The record is from RNAcentral.